Arabidopsis thaliana (thale cress) is the source of this 199-nucleotide non-coding RNA. RefSeq annotates it as microRNA ath-MIR842 precursor. The transcript has a single exon. The record is from RefSeq. NCBI's taxonomy places the organism in Eukaryota, Viridiplantae, Streptophyta, Magnoliopsida, Brassicales, Brassicaceae.
CAGUACCGUUCAGGGUGACAGAAACAUUUUCGAAAAGAGAGGCUAUAAGCGGGAUGAUGAAUCCGACCAUGAUGGUGUUGCAGAAAUUUAUGUAUGAUGUAGUUAUUGUCCAGGGAUCGAAACACCAUCAUGGUCAGAUCCGUCAUCCCACUUAUGUUUUCUUAGGUCAACAAAUAUGGACAAUUGAAAAGUGAAGCUC